GAAGGUGGCCUGUGAGGGUUGCUGGAGGUAUCAGAAGUGCGAAUGCUGACAUAAGUAACGAUAAAGCGGGUGAAAAGCCCGCUCGCCGGAAGACCAAGGGUUCCUGUCCAACGUUAAUCGGGGCAGGGUGAGUCGACCCCUAAGGCGAGGCCGAAAGGCGUAGUCGAUGGGAAACAGGUUAAUAUUCCUGUACUUGGUGUUACUGCGAAGGGGGGACGGAGAAGGCUAUGUUGGCCGGGCGACGGUUGUCCCGGUUUAAGCGUGUAGG
RNAcentral lists this ribosomal RNA (268 nucleotides) under Salmonella enterica subsp. enterica serovar Anatum. Its description in RNAcentral is "partial 23S ribosomal RNA". It matches the Rfam family "Bacterial large subunit ribosomal RNA", at positions 1252 to 1524 of the family's 2925-position model. The record is from RNAcentral. Lineage: Bacteria; Pseudomonadati; Pseudomonadota; Gammaproteobacteria; Enterobacterales; Enterobacteriaceae.